CCUACGGGUGGCUGCAGUGGGGAAUAUUGCACAAUGGGCGCAAGCCUGAUGCAGCCAUGCCGCGUGUGUGAAGAAGGCCUUCGGGUUGUAAAGCACUUUCAGCGGGGAGGAAGGCGGUGAGGUUAAUAACCUCAUCGAUUGACGUUACCCGCAGAAGAAGCACCGGCUAACUCCGUGCCAGCAGCCGCGGUAAUACGGAGGGUGCAAGCGUUAAUCGGAACUACUGGGCGUAAAGCGCACGCAGGCGGUCUGUCAAGUCGGACGUGAAAUCCCCGGGCUCAACCUGGGAACUGCAUUCGAAACUGGCAGGCUAGAGUCUUGUAGAGGGGGGUAGAAUUCCAGGGGUAGCGGUGAAAUGCGUAGAGAUCUGGAGGAAUACCGGUGGCGAAGGCGGCCCCCUGGACAAAGACUGACGCUCAGGUGCGAAAGCGUGGGGAGCAAACAGGAUUAGAUACCCGUGUAGUUC
Molecule: ribosomal RNA, 466 nt
Filed under: uncultured Klebsiella sp.
Lineage: Bacteria; Pseudomonadati; Pseudomonadota; Gammaproteobacteria; Enterobacterales; Enterobacteriaceae
Description: bacterial SSU rRNA
Rfam family: Bacterial small subunit ribosomal RNA
Source: RNAcentral